GGCAGGCCUAAUACAUGCAAGUCGAACGGUGGUAGCAAUACCAUAGUGGCGCACGGGUGCGUAACACGUAACUAACCUACCUAUCACUGGGGGAUAGCCCGCCGAAAGGCGGAUUAAUACCGCAUAACACUAUAAAGCGGCAUCGCUUAGUAGUUAAAGAUUUAUUGGUGAUAGAUGGGGUUGCGGGUCAUUAGCUAGUUGGGUAGGUAACGGCUGCCCAAGGCGACGAUGACUAGGGGAGCUGAGAGGCUGGUCCCCCACACGGGCACUGAGAUACGGGCCCGACUCCUACGGGAGGCAGCAGUAGGGAAUAUUGGGCAAUGGGCGAGAGCCUGACCCAGCCAUGCCGCGUGCAGGAAGAAGGCUUUCUGAGUCGUAAACUGCUUUUGACAGGGAAGAAUAAGGUGUACGUGUACACUGAUGACGGUACCUGCAGAAUAAGCACCGGCUAACUCCGUGCCAGCAGCCGCGGUAAUACGGAGGGUGCGAGCGUUGUCCGGAUUUAUUGGGUUUAAAGGGUGCGUAGGCGGCCAUUUAAGUCCGGGGUGAAAGCCCGUUGCUUAACAACGGAACUGCCCUGGA
This 582-nucleotide ribosomal RNA is filed under the name uncultured bacterium. RNAcentral's name for it is "bacterial SSU rRNA". It matches the Rfam family "Bacterial small subunit ribosomal RNA", at positions 41 to 630 of the family's 1533-position model. The record is from RNAcentral.